Gavialis gangeticus (Gharial) is the source of this 98-nucleotide long non-coding RNA. RefSeq lists it as uncharacterized. The record is from RefSeq and is a predicted model, not a curated record. NCBI's taxonomy places the organism in Eukaryota, Metazoa, Chordata, Crocodylia, Gavialidae. The transcript has 3 exons.
AGGCAGGACAGGUGUGGAGGGCUCGGAACAGGCUCCCCCCCCGAGGUGGUACAGUCAUCCACCCUGGUGAUCUUCAAGAAGUGCCCUGAUGCCCAUCU